GGACUACAGGGGUAUCUAAUCCUUUUUGCUCCCCACGCUUUCGCAACUCAGAGUCAGGAAGGUCCCAGUGCACUGCCUUCGCCUUUGGUGUUCCCCACGAUAUCAACGGAUUUCACCCCUACACCGUGAGUUCCAUGCACCUCUAACCUCCUCCAGUUCUGCCGUAUCUCCUGCACUUCCAGGGUUAGGCCCUGGGCUUUAACAGAAGACGCGCAAAACCUCCUACGUGCGCUUUACGCCCAAUAAAUCCGGAUAACGCUUGAGGUCUACGUAUUACCGCGGCUGCUGGCAC
Molecule: ribosomal RNA, 292 nt
Filed under: uncultured bacterium
Lineage: Bacteria
Description: partial 16S ribosomal RNA
Source: RNAcentral